Molecule: RNA transcript, 970 nt
Organism: Solenopsis invicta (red fire ant)
Lineage: Eukaryota; Metazoa; Arthropoda; Insecta; Hymenoptera; Formicidae
Exons: 4
Source: RefSeq, a predicted model, not a curated record
GCCCAUCCGAUGAUCGCGCAGGCGUCAUGUAAUCACCGGCUCGUAAGCCUCGAACGGCUUAAUCCGUGAGACGUCGCGUCAUUACCCGCGUCGUCAGUGCGACGUCGCCGACAAGCGUCGGCAAUCGUCGUCGGCACCGCUGAAAUCCCAGUCAGGGAAGACAUUUAAAAAUAGAGGAAGAAGAGAAAGAUCCGACAAGAAGAGAACGGUAACUACAUGAGGCGAGGGGACAACGGAAGAAGAAGGCUCAGAACCGCGACCUCUCACCUCGUUUUUACCCCAACUCGUUACGCCGACACUACGACCACUUCAUUGAAUGACUCGUUUUAUUUUCCGCUAAACGUGAAGAGAGAUGCUGUAAAAACAGGCUCAACCGUCCAACACGUGUGUCGACUGACGAGCGUAGAGUCGUAUAAGGCAAAAAACAAGAAAGGGCAGAAACGUCAGAGAGAAAAAAGGAGAGGGUGAGAUACUGAGCAAACGUCGCAGAAAGUACGAGUGCUGUUAGAAUGCGAGAAGUACGUUCGCAAUCAGCAGAGCUGCUGUCUGCGCCGGUCCUGUCGAAUUCGCAGGCGUAUCACGUUGUUAUAUAACGAGAUUAUAUCAUUAACCAGCGAGAUGCAGGCAACGAUUGUUGUCGAUAACGAUAUAAAGCCUUUUAAAUAUAUUGGAGAAUCCCUCGAAUAUUCUAUAAGAAAGGAAGUCAAGCAUCUUCAAUAUUUCAAUAGCCCUCUUCGAUCGCCUUUCAUGGGGCAAUGGCGAUUCUAAUGAACCCAUCGACUCGAUCACGUCUCCGAGUGACCCAUCCCGACUAUGAGUGAAUAAAUGAAUUUCAUGCAUGCCUCUUGGAACAAGCAUUGGAAUGCGGCAAUGAAAAUGGUCCACGGAAUAUCGUGACAUCAUACUCAAGUUUCUCCGAUAUGUAUAGGCGAUUAGUACACCUAAUAAAGAAUUAAGAAAAAUCCCAAAA